Long non-coding RNA from Ruditapes philippinarum (Manila clam), 1759 nucleotides. RefSeq lists it as uncharacterized. NCBI's taxonomy places the organism in Eukaryota, Metazoa, Mollusca, Bivalvia, Venerida, Veneridae. The record is from RefSeq and is a predicted model, not a curated record. The transcript has 3 exons.
CUAUGGCUGCAUGUUAAAAUAUUGGUAACUUUCCAUGCCUUUCCCUUAGAAAAACAUGGCAGAACAUACCCACUGAGCCAGUUUUUUUGUCAUAUGAAUAGUUUUGUAACAAAAAAUGAUGUAACAUUUAUUUAAAUGGGAACUGUAAAUAUAUUUACCUGCAGCCAUAGACAAAUGCAUAAGUUUUCAGAAAAUGUAUUAUUUUACUGAUUUUGAUAUCUGGUUAGUAAGUUUUACUUGCUACAAGUUUUAAGUUUAGCAGGCACGCGUGAAAUUUUAACUGGCUAGGAAGAAGCCUAUCUCUGUUAUCUAUGUCUCUGUUAGAAUAUGAUUUUUAAUAAAGUAAGAAAAUGCAUUUAAAUACAAUGUAUGUCAAAACAGAUCCAGAUAAAAUAAUAUCCUUUUUUCAGAUGUAUAACCAUCAUUGUUUUUUAUCAUUUACUGUUUCAACUGCUUGUCAUAACGAGGCUUUGAAUCUUGGCUAUCGGUUUCAUCUUCAUUGGCCUUGUAUUGCUUUACGGUCGUGACUUGCUCUAAUAAAAAGUAAAUUUAAUCUGCAGAAACUAUUUUAAGGCUUUGUUCUAAUCUGAUAAAUGUGAAUGUAUUAAAAUGUUGAUUUAUAUUUAAACAGGUGAACAUUUGGUUGGACCAUUUGACGAGUGUUUCUGCCAACAGAAAACGGGGCAAGGCAAAGGCGUCCGAGACACGGUCUUUGAAAAAGGUUCAAGCUUCUAUCCAGGUCCCAGCUCCUAUCAAGGUUCAAGCUCCUAUAUAUCCCGACUCAAGCUCCCAUCCAGGCUCCUGCUCCUAUCCAGGCUCUUGAGGAAAGUGCACCAGAUUAAAAACAAUGUGGAAGUGUCCAGGUUUGGCCGCAGGAGGAGGAAGAAUGUCCUUUUUAAUGACUUUUUGUGUUAAAUGUUAAAAUAAAAUAAGAAGUUAAAGUGUUGUAAGUUUUUAGCUCAUCUGAGCUGUGAGCACGAAGCUAUUGUAAUCGGUGAAUGUCUGUCUUCGCAAAUCUGGUGUCCUCAACUUUUAGUGUUUUAACACUCUAAGAGGCCACAGAUAUGGUUCAAUUAUAAUUAAGCUUAGUCAGCAUGCUUACCAUCCCUACAGAAACUGGGUCAUGUGGUGUCAGAAACUAUGUUAGUAGGUUUAUUUUGUAGCUAAACUAUAAAUGUAAAAUAUUUAAGAGCUUAUACGAUCGAUUGUGUGUCCGUGUCCGCAAUGGUUUUUUUAAGUCAUACAUUCUAUUCUAUGAAAGAUAUUCAAUCGAAACUAAGUACGGUAUUUAGUGGGACUACCACUACCAUACUAAGAAGGCCUUUAACCUGGAUGCAUUAUUUUCAGAAUUAUGCCCCUUUAUUACUUGAAAAUACCCAUUUUAUCUUCAAAGUCUAAUUAUUUGAAUACUAUCAAAGUUAUUAAACUACAAUUGAUACAUAUAUACUCAUUGGGAGUGACUAUACCUACCUUACUUCAGAGGCCCAUUAAUCUGGACUCAUUAUUUUCCUAAUCAUAAGCCUUUGUACUUAUAUUUUUCAUUGUUUUUCUGAUAACAGUUUUAUUUAUUGAUUGAUCUCUUAGAUAUUUACCCUCUCCCCUACCCCCGGGGCAUUUGAUGCACCAAGCAGGCUCAAGGGUGGGGAUUUAGACAAAAUUGGUUGUCUCUAGGGUGGGGAUUUAGACUUCAAACAUUUUAAGAUGUCAAAUUCACCUGGGUCAGCCCGCCGCCCCCCGGGCGGGCAAAAUAUUGAUAGGU